UACGUAGGGGGCAAGCGUUGUCCGGAUUUACUGGGCGUAAAGAGCUCGUAGGCGGUCUGUCGCGUCUGCUGUGAAAAUCCAGGGCUCAACCCUGGACCUGCAGUGGGUACGGGCAGACUAGAGUGCGGUAGGGGAGAUCGGAAUUCCUGGUGUAGCGGUGAAAUGCGCAGAUAUCAGGAGGAACACCGGUGGCGAAGGCGGAUCUCUGGGCCGUAACUGACGCUGAGGAGCGAAAGCAUGGGGAGCGAACAGG
This 253-nucleotide ribosomal RNA is filed under the name uncultured bacterium. RNAcentral's name for it is "partial 16S ribosomal RNA". It matches the Rfam family "Bacterial small subunit ribosomal RNA", at positions 524 to 776 of the family's 1533-position model. The record is from RNAcentral.